This 402-nucleotide ribosomal RNA is filed under the name uncultured bacterium. RNAcentral describes it as "bacterial SSU rRNA". It matches the Rfam family "Bacterial small subunit ribosomal RNA", at positions 355 to 774 of the family's 1533-position model. The record is from RNAcentral.
UGGGGAAUAUUGCACAAUGGGGGAAACCCUGAUGCAGCAACGCCGCGUGAGUGAUGACGGCCUUCGGGUUGUAAAGCUCUGUCUUCAGGGGCGAUAAUGACGGUACCUGAGGAGGAAGCCACGGCUAACUACGUGCCAGCAGCCGCGGUAAUACGUAGGUGGCAAGCGUUGUCCGGAUUUACUGGGCGUAAAGGGAGCGUAGGCGGACUUUUAAGUGAGAUGUGAAAUACCCGGGCUCAACCUGGGUGCUGCAUUUCAAACUGGAAGUCUAGAGUGCAGGAGAGGAGAGUGGAAUUCCUAGUGUAGCGGUGAAAUGCGUAGAGAUUAGGAAGAACACCAGUGGCGAAGGCGACUCUCUGGACUGUAACCGACGCUGAGGCUCGAAAGCGUGGGGAGCAAACA